RNAcentral lists this ribosomal RNA (468 nucleotides) under uncultured bacterium. RNAcentral describes it as "partial 16S ribosomal RNA". It matches the Rfam family "Bacterial small subunit ribosomal RNA", at positions 28 to 507 of the family's 1533-position model. The record is from RNAcentral.
GACGAACGCUGGCGGCGUGCUUAACACAUGCAAGUCGAACGGUGAAGCUCCAGCUUGCUGGAGUGGAUCAGUGGCGAACGGGUGAGUAACACGUGAGCAACCUGCCCCUGACUCUGGAAUAAGCGCUGGAAACGGCGUCUAAUACUGGAUAUGAGAGGGUUCCGCAUGGACACUUUCUGGAAAGUUUUUCGGUUGGGGAUGGGCUCGCGGCCUAUCAGCUUGUUGGUGAGGUAAUGGCUCACCAAGGCGGCGACGGGUAGCCGGCCUGAGAGGGCGACCGGCCACACUGGGACUGAGACACGGCCCAGACUCCUACGGGAGGCAGCAGUGGGGAAUAUUGCACAAUGGGCGAAAGCCUGAUGCAGCGACGCCGCGUGAGGGAUGACGGCCUUCGGGUUGUAAACCUCUUUCAGCAGGGAAGAAGCGAAAGUGACGGUACCUGCAGAAGAAGCACCGGCUAACUACGUG